GACGAACGCUGGCGGCGUGCCUAACACAUGCAAGUCGAACGGAGAAUUAGCAAUAAUUCUUAGUGGCGAACGGGUGAGUAACGCGUAGACAACCUACCCUUUAGAUGGGGACAACACCGCGAAAGUGGUGCUAAUACCGAAUAUUGCUUGAGAAGCGCAUGCUUUUCAAACUAAAGAUGGCCUCUAGUUAUAAGCUAUCGCUAAAGAAUGGGUCUGCGUCUGAUUAGCUAGUUGGUGAGAUAAAAGCUCACCAAGGCAAAGAUCAGUAGCCGGUCUGAGAGGAUGAACGGCCACACUGGGACUGAGACACGGCCCAGACUCCUACGGGAGGCAGCAGUGGGGAAUCUUCCGCAAUGGACGAAAGUCUGACGGAGCAACGCCGCGUGAGUGAUGAAGGUUUUCGGAUCGUAAAACUCUGUUGUUAAGGACGAAUGUAUAGAUUGUGAAUAAUGGUUUAUAAUGACGGUACUUAACGAGGAAGCCACGGCUAACUACGUGCCAGCAGCCGCCGUAA
Molecule: ribosomal RNA, 514 nt
Filed under: uncultured bacterium
Lineage: Bacteria
Description: partial 16S ribosomal RNA
Rfam family: Bacterial small subunit ribosomal RNA
Source: RNAcentral